Molecule: non-coding RNA, 24 nt
Filed under: Arabidopsis thaliana (thale cress)
Lineage: Eukaryota; Viridiplantae; Streptophyta; Magnoliopsida; Brassicales; Brassicaceae
Source: RNAcentral
UAGAGAAUUUGUUCGGAAUGCCUU